RNAcentral lists this ribosomal RNA (495 nucleotides) under uncultured bacterium. RNAcentral's name for it is "partial 16S ribosomal RNA". It matches the Rfam family "Bacterial small subunit ribosomal RNA", at positions 28 to 507 of the family's 1533-position model. The record is from RNAcentral.
GACGAACGCUGGCGGCGUGCCUAAUACAUGCAAGUAGAACGCUGAAGGAGGAGCUUGCUUCUCUGGAUGAGUUGCGAACGGGUGAGUAACGCGUAGGUAACCUGCCUGGUAGCGGGGGAUAACUAUUGGAAGCGAUAGCUAAUACCGCAUAAGAGUAGAUGUCGCAUGACAUUUGCUUAAAAGGUGCAAUUGCAUCACUACCAGAUGGACCUGCGUUGUAUUAGCUAGUUGGUGAGGUAACGGCUCACCAAGGCAACGAUACAUAGCCGACCUGAGAGGGUGAUCGGCCACACUGGGACUGAGACACGGCCCAGACUCCUACGGGAGGCAGCAGUAGGGAAUCUUCGGCAAUGGACGGAAGUCUGACCGAGCAACGCCGCGUGAGUGAAGAAGGUUUUCGGAUCGUAAAGCUCUGUUGUAAGAGAAGAACGAGUGUGAGAGUGGAAAGUUCACACUGUGACGGUAUCUUACCAGAAAGAGACGGCUAACUACGUG